This 378-nucleotide ribosomal RNA is filed under the name uncultured eukaryote. RNAcentral describes it as "partial 18S ribosomal RNA". It matches the Rfam family "Eukaryotic small subunit ribosomal RNA", at positions 592 to 975 of the family's 1831-position model. The record is from RNAcentral.
CAAUAGCGUAUAUUUAAGUUGUUGCAGUUAAAAAGCUCGUAGUUGGAUUUCGGAUGGGACUUGCCGGUCCGUCGUUGCGAUGUGCACUGGCCAGUCCUAUCUUGUUGUCGGGGACUAGCUCUUGGUCUUCACUGGCCGGGACUAGGAGCUGACGAGGUUACUUUGAGUAAAUUAGAGUGUUCAAAGCAAGCCUACGCUCUGAAUACAUUAGCAUGGAAUAACACGAUAGGACUCUGGCUUAUCUUGUUGGUCUGUGAGACCAGAGUAAUGAUUAAGAGGGACAGUCGGGGACAUUCGUAUUUCAUUGUCAGAGGUGAAAUUCUUGGAUUUAUGAAAGACGAACUUCUGCGAAGGCAUUUGUCAAGGAUGUUUUCAUUA